Molecule: ribosomal RNA, 575 nt
Filed under: Synnemasporella toxicodendri
Lineage: Eukaryota; Fungi; Ascomycota; Sordariomycetes; Diaporthales; Synnemasporellaceae
Description: eukaryotic LSU rRNA
Rfam family: Eukaryotic large subunit ribosomal RNA
Source: RNAcentral
GAAAAGAAACCAACAGGGAUUGCCCUAGUAACGGCGAGUGAAGCGGCAACAGCUCAAAUUUGAAAUCUGGCUUCGGCCCGAGUUGUAAUUUGCAGAGGAUGUUUUUGGCGCGGUGCCUUCCGAGUUCCCUGGAACGGGACGCCACAGAGGGUGAGAGCCCCGUAUGGUUGGACACUAAGCCUGUGUAAAACUCCUUCGACGAGUCGAGUAGUUUGGGAAUGCUGCUCUAAAUGGGAGGUAAAUCUCUUCUAAAGCUAAAUACCGGCCAGAGACCGAUAGCGCACAAGUAGAGUGAUCGAAAGAUGAAAAGCACCUUGAAAAGGGGGUUAAACAGUACGUGAAAUUGUUGAAAGGGAAGCGCUUAUGACCAGACUUGUGCCGUGCGGCUCAUCCGGGGUUCUCCCCGGUGCACUCCGUACGGCUCAGGCCAGCAUCGGUUCUCGUUGGGGGAUAAGAACUGUAGGAACGUGGCCCCUUUCGGGGGGUGUUAUAGCCUAUAGUACGAUACCCUGGCGGGGACCGAGGACCGCGCUUCGGCAAGGAUGCUGGCGUAAUGGUCAUCAGCGACCCGUCUU